Molecule: ribosomal RNA, 239 nt
Filed under: uncultured Variovorax sp.
Lineage: Bacteria; Pseudomonadati; Pseudomonadota; Betaproteobacteria; Burkholderiales; Comamonadaceae
Description: partial 16S ribosomal RNA
Rfam family: Bacterial small subunit ribosomal RNA
Source: RNAcentral
UACAUCGGAACGUGCCCAAUCGUGGGGGAUAACGCAGCGAAAGCUGUGCUAAUACCGCAUACGAUCUACGGAUGAAAGCAGGGGAUCGCAAGACCUUGCGCGAAUGGAGCGGCCGAUGGCAGAUUAGGUAGUUGGUGAGGUAAAGGCUCACCAAGCCUUCGAUCUGUAGCUGGUCUGAGAGGACGACCAGCCACACUGGGACUGAGACACGGCCCAGACUCCUACGGGAGGCAGCAGGC